This is a long non-coding RNA of Odocoileus virginianus texanus, 2088 nucleotides long. RefSeq lists it as uncharacterized. The record is from RefSeq and is a predicted model, not a curated record. Lineage: Eukaryota; Metazoa; Chordata; Mammalia; Artiodactyla; Cervidae.
AAGUGCCCCCCAAGACCCCCCACCCCACCCUUGCAUAUAGGAACCAGCCUGGAAAAAGUCCUGGUUGGGCUUGGACCCAGCAGCUCCCAGUCUCCCCCAGGGAGGAGGGGGUUGCGUGGGGGUGAUACCUGUGAGAAGACAGGGACUAACCAGUCUCAUUAUUCAUCUAGAUCUGGCCAGGGCCUGCCUGGGGCUGAUGCAGCCUCUGUGAAGGCCUGGACUGAGAAUGGGAACUAGGCUGAGACGAGAAUGCACAAUUUCCCUCAAGUUGACCCAAACGAUACAAGGAGGUAACUCACCAGCCCCUGGUCUCAGCACAUGGUACUGUGCUUUGGUGGGGCUGCUAGGUUACCCACUUAGUGCCGCAGUUCCCCAGAGUGGUGUCCUGAGGCCCUUAUGGGCAGAGGGGCUGGCUCAGCCUCUACCCCAUCCUACCCUCUCCAUCAUUCAUGCCUCCAGUCCUGUCUCCACCACCUGGCAGGCUCCCCAGCAGCAGGGACAAGGUCUUUUUACAGUUAGCAAAUGUUUAUUUGCUGGCUCAGACCCCUCCCAGGCAGGCCUCCUCACCAAAGCUCCACGCUCCAAGAAGCCACGUGGGUCAUGGAAGCGAAGUCACUAAACUUCCUCCUUGCCCAACCUGGUCCAUGUCUAGCAACCCCAGAGCAAAAGAUGCGGACACCUUACCAAGGAUCUCCUGCCUUAUUCUUGCCCUGGGGCCAGCAGAGCCCAGGACAGCGGCUCCCAGCUUUACCACCAGGGAUGACCCUGGCCCCCUCCUCUGCAUUCCUUCUCAUCCCAGCUUCCCUUGGUCCCUGGAGAGGCCUAAAGAGGGCUUAAUAAAGGACCCUGAAGUUGGGAGGAAGAUGGUGGGGUUCCGAGGAGGGAGGGCCAUCAGUUGUUAUUUAAUAGCCACAGGUCUCUCCCCUACCUGAGUCAACCAUUCCCCAUUCAGCAAAGUGUGUUACAGCAACCUCUGUGGGCUCUGCCCAGGAAACCAGAGGAAGGAGGCAGCAGAACUGCAGCCUUGCCUGAAGGGUUCUGAGCACCCUUCAGUGGUGUGAAGAGGGGUUUCCUGUCUCCAUCCUUCAUUUCAGAGCCACAGCCUGGAGGUGACUCGGGGGAGGGGGAUUGACACCACCCCCAGUGUGGUGUCACCAGCCUUCACAAUAAUACACUGCCAUGGAGUCAACCCCAUGGGUUAUCAUCAAACUGAGAGUCCUAUGUACCUAGAUCUUCAAGAACAGGGACCAGAAACACACAGAACAAGAAUACAAGUCAACAACCACAAGACCACAUCGCAUCUCUACCACAUCGCCUCUUCUCCUCCCAUGGACGUAACUCCCUCCAACAAACUUGAUUCCACUUAUCCUCCCUCGGCAAGCUGCUUCAAUCCAGAGAAUAUCAGGGCAGACUGUCGCCCCAGAGGGACCCAAGGCACGUUACUCAACCUCUCUGAUCCUCAUCUGUAAAACAAGAGUAAAACACCUGCUUUGGGGAGUUGCUGCACACCGACAGCUGCCCACGGCUACCCAAGAAGUGAGGACUGGGUAAGAAGUUUGAGCAAGACUGUGCGGCUGGGCCCUGCAAAUACCUCAGCCAAACAGUGAACAAUCUGAGGUGAGGCCGGGGUGUGUGGAUGGCGUCCAGGUGAGCUGAUGAGCACAGAUGUGGCAAAUGUGUGUUUCAAGGAGGUGGUCAGUCAUCCAGCCCCCUCUGGAAGCCGAGGUCCCCAGCAGCCAAUCUUCCGGCCUAGAAAGAUUUAUUAAAGUAACUCCAUACCUCUGUCCAGCCCACUCCCACCCUCCCAGGCCUUCUCCACAUCACCAUCCUCCUUCUCUGUCUCUUCUACCCAAGCAGGAGGAAUUGAAGAUUUCCCCCCACCACCACCACCUUCCCAGGUCUCUCCCUACAAAGUCACCUGGGGACACACCCCUCACCCCACCUCCGCUCCUGGCCUAAGGCUCUUCUGGGGAUUCCUGGUUGUCAGAGGACAGGGACACAGGUGUCCCCCAUGCAGCCCAGGGCUGGCAGAGGCAGCCUCCAGCCUCCUCGAAGCUGCCCAUGGGGAAGGUGAGAAGCAGGGUUAUC